GUUAGGAAUAUUGCGCAAUGGAGGCAACUCUGACGCAGCCAUGCCGCGUGCAGGAAGAAGGCGCUACGCGUUGUAAACUGCUUUUAACCGGGAAGAAACCCCAGGACGUGUCCUGGGUUGACGGUACCGGAGGAAUAAGCACCGGCUAACUUCGUGCCAGCAGCCGCGGUAAUACGAAGGGUGCAAGCGUUAUCCGGAUUCAUUGGGUUUAAAGGGUGCGUAGGCGGAGCGUUAAGUCAGUGGUGAAAUCCUGCAGCUUAACUGUAGACUUGCCAUUGAUACUGGCGCUCUUGAGUGCGCUUGAAGUGGGCGGAAUGUGCCGUGUAGCGGUGAAAUGCUUAGAUAUGGCACAGAACACCAAUUGCGAAGGCAGCUCACUAAGGCGAUACUGACGCUGAGGCACGAAAGCGUGGGGAUCGAACAGGAUUAGAUACCCUGGUAGUCC
This 445-nucleotide ribosomal RNA is filed under the name uncultured bacterium. RNAcentral describes it as "partial 16S ribosomal RNA". It matches the Rfam family "Bacterial small subunit ribosomal RNA", at positions 354 to 796 of the family's 1533-position model. The record is from RNAcentral.